AGAGUUUGAUCAUGGCUCAGGACGAACGCUGGCGGCGUGCCUAACACAUGCAAGUCGAACGGGGUGAGGCCCUUCGGGACCUUUACCUAGUGGCGAACGGGUGAGUAACGCGUGAGGAACCUGCCUUUCAGUGGGGGACAACAGUUGGAAACGACUGCUAAUACCGCAUGAAGCUUUUGGGAGACAUCUCCUGGAAGCCAAAGCUUAAUGUGCUGAAAGAUGGCCUCGCGUCUGAUUAGCUAGUUGGUGGGGUAACGGCCCACCAAGGCGACGAUCAGUAGCCGGUCUGAGAGGAUGAACGGCCACAUUGGGACUGAGAUACGGCCCAGACUCCUACGGGAGGCAGCAGUGGGGAAUAUUGGGCAAUGGGCGAAAGCCUGACCCAGCAACGCCGCGUGAAGGAAGAAGGCCUUCGGGUUGUAAACUUCUUUUACCAGGGACGAAGGACGUGACGGUACCUGGAGAAAAAGCAACGGCUAUCUACGUGCCAGCAGCCGCGGUAAUACGUAGGUUGCAAGCGUUGUCCGGAUUUACUGGGUGUAAAGGGCGUGUAGGCGGAGAUGCAAGUUAGGAGUGAAAUCUAUGGGCUCAACCCAUAAACUGCUUCUAAAACUGUAUCCCUUGAGUAUCGGAGAGGCAAGCGGAAUUCCUAGUGUAGCGGUGAAAUGCGUAGAUAUUAGGAGGAACACCAGUGGCGAAGGCGGCUUGCUGGACGACAACUGACGCUGAGGCGCGAAAGCGUGGGGAGCAAACAGGAUUAGAUACCCUGGUAGUCCACGCUGUAAACGAUGAAUACUAGGUGUGGGGGGACUGACCCCCUCCGUGCCGCAGUUAACACAAUAAGUAUUCCACCUGGGGAGUACGACCGCAAGGUUGAAACUCAAAGGAAUUGACGGGGGCCCGCACAAGCAGUGGAUUAUGUGGUUUAAUUCGACGCAACGCGAAGAACCUUACCAGGACUUGACAUCCAACUAACGAAGUAGAGAUACAUCAGGUGCCCUUCGGGGAAAGUUGAGACAGGUGGUGCAUGGUUGUCGUCAGCUCGUGUCGUGAGAUGUUGGGUUAAGUCCCGCAACGAGCGCAACCCCCAUUGUUAGUUGCUACGAAAGAGCACUCUAGCGAGACUGCCGUUGACAAAACGGAGGAAGGCGGGGACGACGUCAAAUCAUCAUGCCCCUUAUGUCCUGGGCUACACACGUAAUACAAUGGUGGCCAACAGAGGGAAGCGAAGCCGUGAGGCGGAGCAAAUCCCUAAAAGCCAUC
This 1263-nucleotide ribosomal RNA is filed under the name metagenome. Its description in RNAcentral is "bacterial SSU rRNA". It matches the Rfam family "Bacterial small subunit ribosomal RNA", at positions 8 to 1287 of the family's 1533-position model. The record is from RNAcentral.